CAAGAGAGGUAGCGAAUGAUCAAGGAGUAACUGGUGAAGGUGGUGCUGAUACGAUUUUUGUAUUCAGAGUUAUCGAAGAAGGGUUAUGGUGAAUUGAAGAUGAAGAUGGUAUUGAAGUUGUUGAUAAAAGGGGUUUGGUUUAUGUGUGUAUUGAACGAACUUGUGACUUUGAGGACUGAUGGUGGUGAAUUGAAGAACUGGAUUUGGUCUUGUUCAGGAUAAUUUUGGGGAAGUUAUGAAGCUUUAUUUGUUGUGAUUGAGAAGAAGAAGAAUUAGACUCAGGUGAAGGAGGAGUGUGAUGAUACUGACAUGGUUAUGCUGGUGGAGAUGAGUUUAGUUGAUAUUGUUGAACUAGUGGAGGUGCAGAAGUCUUGUUAGAUGCGGCUGCGGAUGUGUAUGACAUGAAGAAUUGAUGGUGGUUUUGUAUGUGGUAGAGUUAUUGAACUUAAUUUAGCAGAACUAAGAUGUUAAUGGUGGUGUUGCUGUUGAGAUAGUGAAGAUGGGUUGUUAGAAUUAGGUUAGUCUGUAGCUGUUGAUUAUGAUGCAGAUUGGUGGUAAAUGGAGAUGUUAUGGAAGGAGUUGGUUUUGGAUAUGUUGGCAGAGAUGUCUAAGUCUGACUUGGGAAUUACAGAUAGAAUACAUGGCAGUGGGUAUAGCAGGACUUGUAAUUGGUGUUUGAUAUCGAUUAAAAUGAGAUGAGCUAGUGCUGGGGGUUUCAAAAUGGGAUUGGUUUGUACAGGAAUGAGGUACAGUCAGAGUUGAACUGAAUUGCAGGGAAGUGUAACUGGAGAUCGUUGGUGGUAUUGAAUUGGUGUUGGUGCCUGUGAGGAUGUAUUGUGAUUGAAGUUUAGUUAGUAAUGGUGGUUAGUGACUUUAGGACUUUAGAAUGUAUAUAUGUGAAUAAUUGGAGUUUUUAUGGUUGAUCAUGGUAUUGUCGGGGUUGUGCAGCAGUAGUGGUUGGGGUGGUGAUUUGAGUUGAAGAUUUCAAUCUAGCUAUAGGUGUUGUUGUUGUUGUAGUGAAAGUUGUAGUUGAGAUUAAGUUCAAAUAUGUUUGUAGAUUAGAUUUCAAUUGAACUGGUAGUGUUUCAGUUUA
Molecule: long non-coding RNA, 1093 nt
Organism: Papaver somniferum (opium poppy)
Lineage: Eukaryota; Viridiplantae; Streptophyta; Magnoliopsida; Ranunculales; Papaveraceae
Exons: 2
Source: RefSeq, a predicted model, not a curated record